Molecule: ribosomal RNA, 497 nt
Filed under: uncultured bacterium
Lineage: Bacteria
Description: partial 16S ribosomal RNA
Rfam family: Bacterial small subunit ribosomal RNA
Source: RNAcentral
GACGAACGCUGGCGGCGUGCCUAAUACAUGCAAGUUGAGCGCUGAAGGUUGGUACUUGUACCAACUGGAUGAGCAGCGAACGGGUGAGUAACGCGUGGGGAAUCUGCCUUUGAGCGGGGGACAACAUUUGGAAACGAAUGCUAACACCGCAUAAAAACUUUAAACACAAGUUUUAAGUUUGAAAGAUGCAAUUGCAUCACUCAAAGAUGAUCCCGCGUUGUAUUAGCUAGUUGGUGAGGUAAAGGCUCACCAAGGCGAUGAUACAUAGCCGACCUGAGAGGGUGAUCGGCCACAUUGGGACUGAGACACGGCCCAAACUCCUACGGGAGGCAGCAGUAGGGAAUCUUCGGCAAUGGACGAAAGUCUGACCGAGCAACGCCGCGUGAGUGAAGAAGGUUUUCGGAUCGUAAAACUCUGUUGGUAGAGAAGAACGUUGGUGAGAGUGGAAAGCUCAUCAAGUGACGGUAACUACCCAGAAAGGGACGGCUAACUACGUG